Molecule: long non-coding RNA, 270 nt
Filed under: Gossypium barbadense (sea-island cotton)
Lineage: Eukaryota; Viridiplantae; Streptophyta; Magnoliopsida; Malvales; Malvaceae
Description: long non-coding RNA (GBAR_LNC023525)
Source: RNAcentral
AAUGCCGUUGCUUUCUGAUUUAUAAUCAUCAAACCUAUAGUACACCUUCUUUUUUGUGGAUUUUAUAUAUAAUUAGAUUUAAUUAACUCUAAUGUAAUAUCUCCCCAGCGACAGUAUCUAUGGAAGCCAACAAGUAAAAUGGAGAAGGCAUUCCCCCUGUUGUAUGUUCUUAAACAUUACAAACUAUAUAAUUGAAUACCACGAAUGAAAUUAAUUAUUAUAUAUUUAUAUAUAUGUGACCUUAGGAGGUUGUACCUGCUUGCCAUCUCC